AGCACCUAAUGGACCAAGACAAAUUCUAAAACCCACAGCAAGUAUAAACCAAAAUCCAAAAGCUCACAUCUUUAUGAAGAAAAGAAAGCCCAAUAGGCAUCAAACCAUUACUUUAGAUUACAUACAUCCAUAUCUACUUGUUUAUUGGAUCGUAGGGGAUAGGUAUACCAUUUCAGACAAACUGCAACACACCAAGUUCGAAUUUGCCGUUGUUUUCAGGCUCAGCCAGAGAUAUCAAUGGCCUUGACAUCAGGUUUCUUGACUUCCUCUUUAGGCACGGUCACUGUCAAGACUCCACUUUCCAUGCUUGCCUUAACCUGAUCAACCUUUGCAUUCUCUGGCAGCCUGAAUCUCCUCAAGAAUUUCCCACUUGACCUCUCAACUCUAUGCAAUUUAUCAUUCUUCUCUUCCUUCUCUUUGCUUCUCUCUCCACUUAUCUGCAAAACAUUACCUUCCUCUAUCUCCACUUUCACUUCCUCUUUCUUUAGCCCUGGAAGGUCAGCCUUGAAAACGUGAGCCUCCGGAGUCUCCUUCCAGUCUAUGCGUGUGUUGGCAAAAGCUGACGUUUCGUUUGCGAACUCGAAGCGAGGAGCCGAGAGAGCUGUGCUUGGGAAUGGGAAGUCAUGGAAGGGGUCCCAGACGUCGAGAGAGAAGGGGUCGAAGAUGUUUGUUCUACGGCCACCAAAGAGGCUGCUUGGAAUAAGAGACAUUUUCUUCCUUGGUUUUGAAACGGGAAUUGAUCAGAGAAGAAUUAACUGAGAUUUCUUAGUGAAGGCUUCUUGGUAUUUCUUUGCUUGGAAUGGGUUUUCUUGAUUUUAAGGGUUAAAGAAAGGAGGUAUUUAUAGGGUUUGUUUUCUUAACUGGGUUAUGAUGGAUUUAAAGCUUCUGGAGAUGGUGAGUUCGUUCUUGAUUCUUCAUGAAGAUGGA
This 927-nucleotide unclassified non-coding RNA is filed under the name Hevea brasiliensis (rubber tree). Lineage: Eukaryota; Viridiplantae; Streptophyta; Magnoliopsida; Malpighiales; Euphorbiaceae. The record is from RNAcentral.